UAGAGUUCUUUCAUGAGUUCACUGCUGG
Molecule: non-coding RNA, 28 nt
Filed under: Mus musculus (house mouse)
Lineage: Eukaryota; Metazoa; Chordata; Mammalia; Rodentia; Muridae
Source: RNAcentral